RNAcentral lists this ribosomal RNA (496 nucleotides) under uncultured bacterium. RNAcentral describes it as "partial 16S ribosomal RNA". It matches the Rfam family "Bacterial small subunit ribosomal RNA", at positions 28 to 507 of the family's 1533-position model. The record is from RNAcentral.
GAUGAACGCUGGCGGCGUGCCUAAUACAUGCAAGUCGAGCGAAGAAAGUUGGCACUUGCACCGAUUCGGUGAGCGGCGAACGGGUGAGUAACACGUGGGUAACCUGCCUUUGAGCCUGGGAUAACUUCUGGAAACCAAAGCUAAUACCGGAUAAUAACUUUAAACACAUGGUUCAAGAUUGAAAGAUGCAUUUGCUGUACCUAAUUAUGAUCUCCCGUUGGAUUAGCUAGGUGGGUAGGUAAAGGCCCACCAAGGCGAAGAUUCAUAGCCGAACUGAGAGGAUGAUCAGCCACACUGGGACUGAGACACGGUCCAGACUCCUACGGGAGGCAGCAGUGGGGAAUAUUGGGCAAUGGGCGAAAGCCUGACCGAGCAACGCCGCGUGAGUGAAGAAGGUUUUCGGAUCGUAAAACUCUGUUAGUAGAGAAGAACGGCAGUGAGAGUAGAAAUCGCAGCAAUGAACGGUAACAACCCAGAAGCGCACGCUAAACUACUG